UGUAUAUCUUCUGCUUUAUCACUGCCUUCAUUGUGCUAUCGUUUCUUGCUUUUCAUCUGCGUGCUCGAUGCCUUCGUUGACUGCGCCCUCAUGUGCCUCCUCCUCAUCCUCUGCGUGCGCUUGGCUGUGCGUGUGUGUGUGUGUGUUUGCGGCGACUCUUUGCUCCCUUGUUUUUCUUCUUUCCGGUUGACCACCCAACGGCUGAUGCAGUGCUCUGCAAGCAUACUCUCCUUGUCGAAGAAGGGGGUGGUGAACACGCAAGAGGGGCAUUGCACAAAAGGAGGAGAAAGCGACGACUGGCAGGAGAGAAGAAAGGAACGAGUCAGCGCCACAAGUGCGUCUUGCCUGUCUCUCCCCUCGAAGUCUGCCUCGCCUUACACAGAAACUCGCGCUUGCAUGCACUCGCACACACAUCCAAAGACGGCAGCUCUAUCAAACGCACUCCGCAUUUCAGUCGAGGCUUUUUUUCGCAGUCUCUCAGUUGCCUGCUGAGUGCCUGCCUGCGUGCCUUCGCAGGGACGGAGAUGAUGGGAUGUGCGUGAGUGCGCACGCGUUUCAAAUGCGCAUCCUUCCCGUUUUCGCGUCUCUGCCUAGCUCUUUCUCUCUUCGUUCACCACCGUGCGAUGGACCUCGACGCACACCACCACCGGCCUCACCGUUUCCUUUUUCGUCCCUCAUUUGUUGCUUGUGUGUGCUGCGCGUACAUGAGCCAGUGCACGUGCUUGCGUCGCUCUAAAGAGGAGCGUCUGUGUGCCGCUGUGCGCGCAUCGGUAGACCUGGUAUCGACACUGUUGCCGAGGGCAAGGGACGAGCGAAUGGUGGCGUGCGAGUGCAAGCAGAGGUUGACAGGAGAGGAUAAAGCAUCAUAAAGAGCAGCAGCAGUGAG
RNAcentral lists this unclassified non-coding RNA (886 nucleotides) under Leishmania donovani. RNAcentral describes it as "gene:unknown". The record is from RNAcentral. Lineage: Eukaryota; Euglenozoa; Kinetoplastea; Trypanosomatida; Trypanosomatidae.